RNAcentral lists this ribosomal RNA (243 nucleotides) under uncultured bacterium. Its description in RNAcentral is "partial 16S ribosomal RNA". It matches the Rfam family "Bacterial small subunit ribosomal RNA", at positions 15 to 253 of the family's 1533-position model. The record is from RNAcentral.
GAUCCUGGCUCAGAUUGAACGCUGGCGGCAGGCCUAACACAUGCAAGUCGAACGGUAACAGGAAGCAGCUUGCUGCUUCGCUGACGAGUGGCGGACGGGUGAGUAAUGUCUGGGAAACUGCCUGAUGGAGGGGGAUAACUACUGGAAACGGUAGCUAAUACCGCAUAACGUCGCAAGACCAAAGAGGGGGGACCUUCGGGCCUCUUGCCAUCGGAUGUGCCCAGACGGGAUUAGCUAGUAGGG